CCCUGCGGCCCAGGGGCCGCUAUUGGGGGGGCGGGUGGGGAGAGGUGGGGAAGAGAGGGGGAGGGAGGAGAGGAGGAAGAGCGCCGCAGCCUCGGCAGCUGGAGUCGGAGCGGGGGGGGAUGGUUUCAAAAAAUAAUUAAAAAUCGAGGAAAUAUCCUAGAAAAGCCCUUUUGGCGUGAAAACCCCAAAGAGGAGCCAGGCUUCCCGACACAGAGGUUUCGGGUGCCAGAAAGGUCUGGAUUCCGACCCCUGGGGCUCUGGAUCCCGGGAGGAAACUUGAAGGGGUGAGCGCCGCGGCGGGAGUGUCCGGCUGCGGCCCACAAGGACAGAAACUAGGGAACGUGGUGACGAGCUAGGGGAAAGACGGGAGCAGGGAGCCCUGGAAACAGGCACGGGGGGCUCCAACCUCUCCUUUAGGGGUGACCCGCUAUCCCCCCUACACACACCCCCUCCCCCCCUUCUUACCCCACCCAAAUCUCCGCACCGAGGAAGCUGGAAAACCAAACUUGGCUGGGCCAGGAACAGUAAGAGGCAUGAGGAUCACCCAGCGUGGAGACCGCUCUGGAGGAGGCUGCAGACUGGAGGCGCUGUUGUAGCCAGCUGCAUUUUGGAGGAGAAUCUACCAUAAAACCGACAGACUCUUCCUGAUCUCUACCUGUGCUGUCUGCCUCUCUAGCUCUGGACACUGAGAGCUGGUGCCCUGUGGCCACCGCAAGCUGGAACCCUGAAGAUCACCAAGAAGACUGCAUGCCUCGCUCUAGCCUUCCUAAGGGAAAGUAGACUCCUGUUUUUGAGAGAAAUUACCUGAUUUCAAGAGAAACAUAAAGGACUUUUUUUUCCUUAACAUUCCACUCGUAAAAAUGAAGUUUGGAAGAACUUCUGCAAACUCUGAGUGUUUUGGUCAAUUGACCUUUUACGGUACUAAGCAGAUCUGAAGCCACAAAUACACUGGGGAGGAAGGUAUACCCUUCACAAAAGAUUUGUCACUUAGCCAGAUACUCUGUUGCCAUGCUUCUUUAAAUAAAGAACAUUUCUGGUA
This is a long non-coding RNA of Nomascus leucogenys (northern white-cheeked gibbon), 1039 nucleotides long. RefSeq lists it as uncharacterized. The record is from RefSeq and is a predicted model, not a curated record. The transcript has 3 exons. NCBI's taxonomy places the organism in Eukaryota, Metazoa, Chordata, Mammalia, Primates, Hylobatidae.